This 495-nucleotide ribosomal RNA is filed under the name uncultured bacterium. RNAcentral describes it as "partial 16S ribosomal RNA". It matches the Rfam family "Bacterial small subunit ribosomal RNA", at positions 28 to 507 of the family's 1533-position model. The record is from RNAcentral.
GACGAACGCUGGCGGCGUGCCUAAUACAUGCAAGUAGAACGCUGAAGGAGGAGCUUGCUUCUCUGGAUGAGUUGCGAACGGGUGAGUAACGCGUAGGUAACCUGCCUGGUAGCGGGGGAUAACUAUUGGAAACGAUAGCUAAUACCGCAUAAUAGUAGAUGUUGCAUGACAUUUGCUUAAAAGGUUCAAUUGCAUCACUACCAGAUGGACCUGCGUUGUAUUAGCUAGUUGGUGGGGUAACGGCUCACCAAGGCGACGAUACAUAGCCGACCUGAGAGGGUGAUCGGCCACACUGGGACUGAGACACGGCCCAGACUCCUACGGGAGGCAGCAGUAGGGAAUCUUCGGCAAUGGACGGAAGUCUGACCGAGCAACGCCGCGUGAGUGAAGAAGGUUUUCGGAUCGUAAAGCUCUGUUGUAAGAGAAGAACGAGUGUGAGAGUGGAAAGUUCACACUGUGACGGUAUCUUACCAGAAAGGGACGGCUAACUACGUG